This 439-nucleotide ribosomal RNA is filed under the name uncultured bacterium. Its description in RNAcentral is "partial 16S ribosomal RNA". It matches the Rfam family "Bacterial small subunit ribosomal RNA", at positions 339 to 795 of the family's 1533-position model. The record is from RNAcentral.
CUACGGGCGGCAGCAGUGAGGAAUAUUGCACAAUGGGGGGAACCCUGAUGCAGCAACGCCGCGUGGAGGAUGACGCAUUUCGGUGUGUAAACUCCUUUUAUAUGUCAAGAAAAUGACGGUAGCAUAUGAAUAAGCACCGGCUAACUCCGUGCCAGCAGCCGCGGUAAUACGGAGGGUGCAAGCGUUACUCGGAAUCACUGGGCGUAAAGGACGCGUAGGCGGGUUGGAAAGUCGGGUGUGAAAUCCUACAGCUUAACUGUAGAACUGCACUUGAAACUUCUAAGCUAGAGUAUGGGAGGGGGAGAUGGAAUUAGUUGUGUAGGGGUAAAAUCCGUAGAUAUCACUAGGAAUACCAAAAGCGAAGGCGAUCUCCUGGAACAGUACUGACGCUAAGGCGUGAAAGCGUGGGGAGCAAACAGGAUUAGAUACCCCCGUAGUC